AUUUCAACAAUUGGAAAAGGUUUUACUUAGCUGUGAAUUAAAAGGGAAUCGUGUGUAAAUCACGUACUGUCGCGCAACUGUAAGUAACAUAUGAAGGUUUUUAUCCAAGAGCUCCACUGCGUAAUAGCGGGAAGGACGAUAAAAGCUGUUACAAGUCAGGAUACCUGCCUGUUCUAUAUUGACGAU
RNAcentral lists this non-coding RNA (186 nucleotides) under Pedobacter antarcticus. The record is from RNAcentral. RNAcentral also lists the same sequence under 1 other name. Lineage: Bacteria; Pseudomonadati; Bacteroidota; Sphingobacteriia; Sphingobacteriales; Sphingobacteriaceae.